UGUGUGUGUGUGUGUGUGUGUGUGUGUGUGUGUGUAUAUAUAUAUAUAUAUAUAUAUACACACAUACAUACAUACACACACACACACACC
Pelobates cultripes (western spadefoot toad) is the source of this 90-nucleotide non-coding RNA. NCBI's taxonomy places the organism in Eukaryota, Metazoa, Chordata, Amphibia, Anura, Pelobatidae. The record is from the annotation of a GenBank genome assembly.